RNAcentral lists this ribosomal RNA (375 nucleotides) under uncultured bacterium. Its description in RNAcentral is "bacterial SSU rRNA". It matches the Rfam family "Bacterial small subunit ribosomal RNA", at positions 28 to 402 of the family's 1533-position model. The record is from RNAcentral.
GACGAACGCUGGCGGCGUGCUUAGCACAUGCAAGUCGAACGAGGUCCAACCUUCGGGUGAAGACCUAGUGGCGAACGGGUGCGUAACACGUGAGGAACUUGUCCCGGUCUCUGGGAUAACAGUUGGAAACGACUGCUAAUACCGGAUGACGUCGGAGCGUCGCAUGGCGCGCUGACGAAAGGGUUACUGGAUCGGGAGAGCCUCGCGGCCUAUCAGCUUGUUGGUGGGAACGGCCUACCAACGGCAUCGACGGGUAGCUGGUCUGAGAGGAUGAUCAGCCACACUGGGACUGAGACACGGCCCACGACUCCUACGGGAGGCAGCAGUGGGGAAGUCUUGCGCAAUGGGCGAAAGCCUGACGCAGCAACGCCGCGU